RNAcentral lists this ribosomal RNA (494 nucleotides) under uncultured bacterium. RNAcentral describes it as "partial 16S ribosomal RNA". It matches the Rfam family "Bacterial small subunit ribosomal RNA", at positions 28 to 507 of the family's 1533-position model. The record is from RNAcentral.
GACGAACGCUGGCGGCGUGCUUAACACAUGCAAGUCGAACGGUGAAGCGCCUUCCUUUUUGGUGGGUGUGGAUGAGUGGCGAACGGGUGAGUAACACGUGAGUAACCUGCCCCCUUCUUCUGGAUAACCGCAUGAAAGUGUGGCUAAUACGGGAUAUUCUCGGUCUGUCGCAUGAUGGGUCUGGGAAAGAUAUUGUUUCGGUGGGGGAUGGGCUCGCGUCCUAUCAGCUUGUUGGUGGGGUGAUGGCCUACCAAGGCGGUGACGGGUAGCCGGCCUGAGAGGGUGGGCGGUCACACAGGGACUAAGACACGGCGCAGACUCCUACGGGAGGCAGCAGUGGGGAAUAUUGCACAAUGGGCGCAAGCCUGAUGCAGCGACGCGGCGGGAGGGAUGGAGGCCUUCGGGUUGUGAACCUCUUUCGCCAGUGAAGCAGGCCUGCCUCGUUUGUGGGUGGGUUGACGGUAGCUGGAUAAGAAGCGCCGGCUAACUACGUG